This 274-nucleotide ribosomal RNA is filed under the name uncultured bacterium. RNAcentral's name for it is "partial 16S ribosomal RNA". It matches the Rfam family "Bacterial small subunit ribosomal RNA", at positions 523 to 796 of the family's 1533-position model. The record is from RNAcentral.
AUACGAAGGUCCCAAGCGUUAUUCGGAAUCACUGGGCGUAAAGAGUACGUAGGCGGUUUGGUAAGUCAGGAGUGAAAUCCCGGAGCUCAACUCCGGAACUGCAUCCGAUACUGCCAGACUUGAGUAAUGGAGAGGCAGGUGGAAUUCUCGGUGUAGCAGUGAAAUGCGUGGAUAUCGAGAGGAAGACCAAUGGCGAAGGCAGCCUGCUGGACAUUUACUGACGCUGAGGUACGAAGGCUAGGGGAGCGAAAGGGAUUAGAAACCCCUGUAGUCC